UACGUAGGGUGCAAGCGUUGUCCGGAAUUAUUGGGCGUAAAGAGCUCGUAGGCGGUUUGUCGCGUCUGCUGUGAAAACUCGGGGCUUAACCCCGGGCCUGCAGUGGGUACGGGCAGACUAGAGUGCGGUAGGGGAGACUGGAAUUCCCAGUGUAGCGGUGAAAUGCGUAGAUAUUGGGAAGAACACCUGAGGCGAAGGCGGGUUGCUGGGCUGACACUGACGCUGAGGCGCGAAAGCCAGGGGAGCGAACGGG
RNAcentral lists this ribosomal RNA (253 nucleotides) under uncultured bacterium. RNAcentral's name for it is "partial 16S ribosomal RNA". It matches the Rfam family "Bacterial small subunit ribosomal RNA", at positions 524 to 776 of the family's 1533-position model. The record is from RNAcentral.